RNAcentral lists this transfer RNA (73 nucleotides) under Brachirus orientalis (oriental sole). RNAcentral's name for it is "tRNA-Leu". It matches the Rfam family "tRNA". From Rfam's summary of the family: Transfer RNA (tRNA) molecules are approximately 80 nucleotides in length. Their secondary structure includes four short double-helical elements and three loops (D, anti-codon, and T loops). Further hydrogen bonds mediate the characteristic L-shaped molecular structure. tRNAs have two regions of fundamental functional importance: the anti-codon, which is responsible for specific mRNA codon recognition, and the 3' end, to which the tRNAs corresponding amino acid is attached (by aminoacyl-tRNA synthetases). tRNAs cope with the degeneracy of the genetic code in two manners: having more than one tRNA (with a specific anti-codon) for a particular amino acid; and 'wobble' base-pairing, i.e. permitting non-standard base-pairing at the 3rd anti-codon position. Lineage: Eukaryota; Metazoa; Chordata; Actinopteri; Pleuronectiformes; Soleidae. The record is from RNAcentral.
GUUAGAGUGGCAGAGCUCGGUACUGCAAAAGAUCUAAGCUCUUUUCACAGGGGUUCAAGUCCCCUCCCUAACU